Molecule: ribosomal RNA, 428 nt
Filed under: uncultured Verrucomicrobiales bacterium
Lineage: Bacteria; Pseudomonadati; Verrucomicrobiota; Verrucomicrobiia; Verrucomicrobiales
Description: bacterial SSU rRNA
Rfam family: Bacterial small subunit ribosomal RNA
Source: RNAcentral
AGUCGAGAAUCAUUCGCAAUGGGCGAAAGCCUGACGGUGCGACGCCGCGUGGAGGAUGAAGGCCCUAGGGUCGUAAACUCCUGUCAUCAGGGAGUAAGGGCUUGCGCAGUCACUGGCGCGGGCAUUGAUAGUACCUGAAGAGGAAGGGACGGCAAACUUCGUGCCAGCAGCCGCGGUAAUACGAAGGUCCCAAGCGUUGUUCGGAUUUACUGGGCGUAAAGAGUCUGUAGGCGGCGGGGUAAGUCAGAUGUGAAAUCCCGGGGCUCAACCCCGGAACUGCAUCCGAUACUGCCUUGCUUGAGUAUUGGAGGGGAGCCUGGAAUUCUCGGUGUAGCAGUGAAAUGCGUAGAUAUCGAGAGGAACACUAGUGGCGAAGGCGAGGCUCUGGACAAUUACUGACGCUGAGAGACGAAGGUCAGGGGAGCGAA